ACUCCUACGGGAGGCAGCAGUGGGGAAUAUUGCACAAUGGGCGCAAGCCUGAUGCAGCCAUGCCGCGUGUGUGAAGAAGGCCUCGGGUUGUAAAUGCAGCUACAGUCGUGAGCAGGUAGUGUAGUUAAUAGCUGCAUUAUUUGACGUUAGCGACNGAAGAAGCACCGGCUAACUCCGUGCCAGCAGCCGCGGUAAUACGGAGGGUGCGAGCGUUAAUCGGAAUUACUGGGCCGUAAAGCGCAUGCAGGUGGUUUGUUAAGUCAGAUGUGAAAGCCCG
This 277-nucleotide ribosomal RNA is filed under the name uncultured bacterium. Its description in RNAcentral is "partial 16S ribosomal RNA". It matches the Rfam family "Bacterial small subunit ribosomal RNA", at positions 335 to 604 of the family's 1533-position model. The record is from RNAcentral.